UAGUAACGGCGAGUGAACCGGGAUGAGCUCAAAUUUAAAAUCUGGCGUCUUUCAGGCGUCCGAGUUGUAAUCUAUAGAGGCGUUUUCCGCGCCGGACCGCGUCCAAGUCUCUUGGAAUAGAGUAUCAAAGAGGGUGACAAUCCCGUACUUGACGCGACAACCGGUGCUCUGUGAUACGUUCUCAAUGAGUCGAGUUGUUUGGGAAUGCAGCUCUAAAUGGGUGGUAAAUUCCAUCUAAGGCUAAAUAUUGGCGAGAGACCGAUAGCGAACAAGUACCGUGAGGGAAAGAUGAAAAGCACUUUGGAAAGAGAGUUAAACAGCACGUGAAAUUGUUAAAAGGGAAACGAUUGAAGUCAGUCGUGUGAAAGGUAUUCAGCCGUCUCUGGCGGUGUAUUUGCCUUUCACGGGUCAACAUCAGUUUGAUCCGGUAGAAAAAGGCGGGAGGAAGGUGGCACCCUCGGGUGUGUUAUAGCCUCCUGUCAUAUGUGCCGGACCAGACUGAGGAACGCAGCUUGCCGCAAGGCCGGGGUUCGCCCACGUACAAGCUUAGGA
This 552-nucleotide ribosomal RNA is filed under the name Vishniacozyma victoriae. RNAcentral's name for it is "partial large subunit ribosomal RNA". It matches the Rfam family "Eukaryotic large subunit ribosomal RNA", at positions 81 to 618 of the family's 3401-position model. The record is from RNAcentral. Lineage: Eukaryota; Fungi; Basidiomycota; Tremellomycetes; Tremellales; Bulleribasidiaceae.